UCCAGGUCCAAAUCGGGGCACCACCACCGCCGGAGACAAAGCGUGCCCGAGCCACCCAGUGCACCACCUCUCGCCGCCCACACGGCCAAGAGGAACGCCAUCACCGCCCAUAGCAGUUUCCUUGUUCUAGCACUAUUUUACUAUAUUGAAUAUUUGAAGCACCUGAUAAUAACCUUGCCAUCUUUGUCUUGAUAUAUGCAGACUUUCGAUGAAGGUGUCAUCACCUAGGACGGGCGUGCUUCCUGAAAUUUGUGAGUCCAUCCCGUUUCCUCCACCCCACGAUAAAAAGUGUGAAAUGACUUGGUUUUUUUUGAUAAAGGGCUUUUCAUUGAAUUAAAAUAUCGAGUUGAUACAACCACAUCAAAAAUCACCCGGCCUCUGCAUAGCUAGAUGCACACAGCCAAAAGUUUGAAAUACUGUAAACCGAAAUAAAGUGGCAAAACAGCCAGAACAAGAGAAAAAUAAAAAUUCCUAUAGAGGCCGAUCCUAACCGAAGAUCACACCGCCAUCCAUGGGGGUAAAAAAUCUCCCUGGCCGAACACUCCAGCCGAGUAGAAGCCAUCAUAAAAGGUCUCUGUCCUCCGGCCUCUGCAAGAUAGACCACAUACGGAGCCAUCGCGAACAUAUAUGAAUAACCUGCAUAGGGGAUGAAACGCAUUUACGGUUAAAAACAAUGUCAUUCCUAGUGAGCCACAGUGCCCAACAUAAGGCAGCCGCCCCCACAAGAAUGUGUUUAGAAAAUUGUUUAUCUAUACCCCUCAACCAAUUGUCGAACAUAUUCCGUGCACUACGUGGAGGAUAUAGAUUCGAAGCUAUUUGGACAAUGGCCCAUACAGAUCGAGCAAACUUGCAAUCAAAAAAUAAGUGCUUAAUGGACUCAUCAUGGUGGCAAGAUCGAGCAAACUUGCAAUUAAAAAAUAAGUGCUUAAUGGACUCAUCAUGGUGGCAGAAAACACAUUUUUUGCAACCUUGCCAGUUUCAUCAUACCAAAUUGUCCCUAGUUAAGAUAACUCCUUUAUUGAGAAACCAUAGAAAAAUUUUCACUUUUAGAGGAAUCUUCAACUUCCACAAUAUUUUAUUGUCAAUUGGAACCUCGUUAUGAACCAAUGCAUCAUACAUAGAUUUGACCGAAAACUUCCCACUCUGAUGCAGUUUCCAUUUAAAGAUAUCCGGUUCUGUCGAUAGUUGGAUGGCUCCCAAUCGGGUUAGCAAAUCAUCCCAACGAGGUACACUGAGGGUUGUACGAAAAGAAAUAUCUGGGUUUUCUUGGCCCAGCACCUACUUAAUCGUGACAAACUUAUGUCUAACUAUCCGAUAUAAGCUUGGGUAUUGCACGUUCAAUGGGGUGGUCCCGAGCCAGGUGUCUUCCCCAAAACGUAUUUGGGAGUCGUCCUUAACCGAGAACGUUCCAAAUUGGAAAAAGAAUUCUUUAGCUUUCAUUACCCCACUCCAAAAAUGUGAAUCACCCCGUUUCCAGUAGACUUGGGAAAUUUCUUUGGAGCGCACGUAUUUAUUACGAAUGAUUUCCUGCCAAACACCAUUCUCAGUGAGUAAUUUGUAUACCCAUUUGCUGAGAAAUGCAAUGUUUUUUAUCUCAAGAUCCUGGAUUCCAAGGCCCCCUUGGCUUUUAGGACGGCAUAAUAUAUUCCACCUAGCCAAACGAUAUUUCUUGGUUUCAUUAUCACUCUGCCAAAAAAAUCUUGAUCUAAAGUAAUCAAGACGUUGGAGCACUCCUUUUGGCAGAUGAAAGAAUUAUAGCAUGUAAAGAACCAUAUUGGUAAGGACCGAGUUGAUCAAAACUAAUCGGCCCCCAUAGGACAAGAGUUUGGCCUUCCAACUAGCCAACCGUUUCUUCAGUCUCUCUUCAACAUGCUUCCAUUCAGCGAUUGUCAAUCGCCGAUAAUGAAUAGGGAUACCUAGAUAGCGAAUCGGAAAUGACUUGGUGCAGACCUUUCUCUAACUCACAGGGAACGAAAGAUGCAUUCUGCAGUAAAGGGGUGUGCGAGUGUAGGUUCUUCUUACGUUAAGACCUCCUUAACAUGAGCAGAACCUACACUUGCACACCCCUUUACUGCAGAGUACAUCUUCCGUUCCCCGUGAGUUGCAGAAAGGUCUGCACCAACUCAUGUCACAGUUUCUACCGUGGGGUGGAGUAACCGGGAUGGACUCACAAAGUUCAGGAAACACGCUUUUCCUAGCUGAUGACACCUUCAUCGAAAAGACUGGAUGUCUCAACACAAAGAUGACAGGUUAGUAUCGGUGCUUCAAACAAGCAAUAUAGUAAAAUAGUGCUAGAACAAGGAAACUGCAGAGGCUAGGCAGUAGGCAACGCAUUUUUGCAAUGUAAACCCAACCAUUGCGUAGACCGGGGCUUCGCCUCUCAGGGCAUCCAUUUUUGAAUCUAACAAGAUAAAAUAAGCUCUUAUAUCUGCAACAGGCUUAUUGCUACUGUUUCUUUUCAGAAUAUAGCAUAAUCAACUACAAAAUGGCCCAAAUACCUGACAAGAGCACUAGGAGGACGAUUGUUAACAUGAGCAUCGAUGUCUUCAAGCAUGAUCCUCAAUGGAAGAGAGGGAGCAGCGGCCUCCCUGAGUGCAAGCACCAGCGAGGAUGACUAGCUAGUGGGAGGAGACGAUGUGCCUGU
RNAcentral lists this long non-coding RNA (2644 nucleotides) under Triticum aestivum (bread wheat). Its description in RNAcentral is "long non-coding RNA (TAES_LNC009932)". The record is from RNAcentral. Lineage: Eukaryota; Viridiplantae; Streptophyta; Magnoliopsida; Poales; Poaceae.